RNAcentral lists this ribosomal RNA (253 nucleotides) under uncultured bacterium. RNAcentral's name for it is "partial 16S ribosomal RNA". It matches the Rfam family "Bacterial small subunit ribosomal RNA", at positions 524 to 776 of the family's 1533-position model. The record is from RNAcentral.
UACGGGGGGGGCAAGCGUUGUUCGGAAUUACUGGGCGUAAAGGGCGCGUAGGCGGCCUUCUAAGUCGGACGUGAAAUCCCUCGGCUUAACCGAGGAACUGCGUCCGAUACUGAAAGGCUUGAAUCCGGGAGAGGGAUGUGGAAUUCCAGGUGUAGCGGUGAAAUGCGUAGAUAUCUGGAGGAACACCGGUGGCGAAGGCGGGUCUCUGGGCCGAUACUGACGCUGAGGAGCGAAAGCGUGGGGAGCGAACAGG